Molecule: long non-coding RNA, 202 nt
Filed under: Elaeis guineensis (African oil palm)
Lineage: Eukaryota; Viridiplantae; Streptophyta; Magnoliopsida; Arecales; Arecaceae
Description: long non-coding RNA (EGUI_LNC019759)
Source: RNAcentral
AUGGAACCUCAAUUUUUACUUAAGCAUUUAACCUAGACCGUACUAUCAUGCUGCAAAUAAAUCUUCUCAAGUCACAAUUGGGAUAUAAGAUUCGAGAUAAAUAAGAUGUUAGCAAAUUACAAUUAUAUGGAUUACCAACCAUGCCUAAUUGGAAAUAUCGAAUGAUAUCAGGAAGAUGGUAUGGUUAGCGAAGCAUAUGACA